Molecule: RNA transcript, 1890 nt
Organism: Scylla paramamosain (green mud crab)
Lineage: Eukaryota; Metazoa; Arthropoda; Malacostraca; Decapoda; Portunidae
Exons: 5
Source: RefSeq, a predicted model, not a curated record
GGCAAUGAUAAUCCUGUACUAGACAUUUGAUAAAGAUAAGCAAGUUAUAAUAAGCAUUCUGUGAACUGUUAUUUUUACUUCAGGUGGAGGCAUUAGUAUACAACUUAUACGGAAUGACGGAACUUGCCUCCUUUGCUACCGGCUGCAUUGUUACACAGGACUGGAAAAGCCUUUGUAUUGGAAAAGUCAUGCCCUUCUUCGAAGUUAAGGUAGUGGACCUAAGUAGCGGGCAGCUCUUGGGGGCUGGCGAGAUUGGAGAAAUAUGUGUGCGGAGCCCCACCACAAUGAUCGGCUACGCUGAUAACUCGGCUGCUACCUCCUCCAUGAUAGAUGCCGAAGGUUGGGUUCACACGGGUGAUUACGGCUAUUACGACAGCCAGGGAUUGAUCUACAUGACUGACAGAAUUAAAGACCUCAUCAAGUCUAAGUCAUCUCUCUAGGUACAGCCGUCUGAACUGGAGGAUUUGCUGUUACAACACCCACAUGUGGCUGAGGCUGUGGUGAUUGGCGUGUGUCAGGAUGACUUUGAGGAGAUGCCGCGGGCAUUCGUGGUGCUGGAGCCUGAAGCUCCCGUCCAACCUGAGGUCCUCAAGCGGUUUGUCAAUGAUCGCGUUCCUGACUUCAAGCAGCUGACUGGCGGGGUGUGGGUGGUGGAGGAGAUCCCCAAAAAACAGCACUGGCAAACCUCUGAAGCGACAACUCAAGGCUGGUCAAGUUACACAACUGGCAUCCUGCUGUUGAUUACUACGCACUAUCUUUGUUUUUGUGGAACUAAGAGUGAGGGUGAUCUCCACCCAGAGCUGCAGGUCACACAGACACAGCUUCCCGGACUGAAGUCACUAUGAAAACGCUGGUAAGGACAUGCCGCUGAGUUUUGAAUUAGGAAUAAAGUUAGUAACAUAUCUAUAAUUGGUAUGAAUUUUUUUUUAUUCCGAGGGUUUAAGCCAGCGAGGGCAUGGAAAACAUCACUGCGAAGAAUUUUAAUAGGUAGCAUGAAGUAGUCAGAGUGUGGAGGAGAGGGAGGAACAAGCCCAGAAUCGUCCAAGGUAGAGUUUUUAGCAAAGGUUUGAGAGCUAAGAACUCAGCUUUAGAAUUAGAUGGGAUAGCACUGGUGCCAUCUGGUUGAAAUAAAGGAGGGAAAGAACAAGAAGCAAAGCUAUUGGAGAUAUUUUUGGCUAGAUGCCAGAAGUCACGAGGGAAGUUAGAUCAUGAAAGAUUAAUUAAUUAUUAAUGAAGGAGUUUUUGGCUAGUUGGAGAACAGACUUGGCAUGGUUCCGGGCAGAAAUAUAAAGUGCAUGAGAUUUUGGUAAUGGAAGGCUUAAGUACCUUUGGUGGGCCACCUCUCUAUCAUGUAUAGCACGAGAACAAGCUGUGUUAAACCAAGGUUUGGAAGGUUUAGGUCGAGAAAAAGAGUGAGGAAUGUACGCCUCCAUUCCAGACACUAUCACUUUGUAAUGCGCUCGGCACACAAAGAAGGGUCUCUGACACUGAAGCAGUAGUCAAUCUAAGGAAAAACAGCAAAAUACCGCCUCAGGUCGCCCCAACUAGAAGAGGCAAAACGCCAGAGGCACCUCCGCUUAGAGGGAUCCUGAGGAGGGAUUGGAGCGAUAGGACAAGAUACAGAUAUGAGACUGUGAUCGGAGGAGCCCAACGGAGAAGAAAGGGUGACAGCAUAAGCAGAAGGAUUAGAGGUCAGGAAAAGGUCAAGAAUAUUGGGCAUAUCUCCAAGACGGUCAGGAAUACGAGUAGGGUGUUGCACCAAUUGCUCUAGGUCGUGGAGGAUGGCAAAGUUGAAGGCUAGUUCACCAGGAUGGUCAGUGAAGGGAGAGGAAAGCCAAAGCUGGUGGUGAACAUUGAAGUCUCCAAGAAUGGAGAUCACUGCAAAAGGGA